Molecule: ribosomal RNA, 253 nt
Filed under: uncultured bacterium
Lineage: Bacteria
Description: partial 16S ribosomal RNA
Rfam family: Bacterial small subunit ribosomal RNA
Source: RNAcentral
UACAGAGGUCCCAAGCGUUGUUCGGAUUUAUUGGGCGUAAAGGGUGCGUAGGCGGUUGUCUAAGUCUGGUGUGAAAUCUCGGGGCUCAACCUCGAAACUGCACUGGAUACUGGGUAACUUGAGUACUGGAGGGGAGACUGGAAUUUACGGUGUAGCAGUGAAAUGCGUAGAUAUCGUAAGGAAGACCAGUGGCGAAGGCGAGUCUCUGGACAGUUACUGACGCUGAGGCACGAAGGCCAGGGGAGCAAACGGG